This is a non-coding RNA of Chiloscyllium plagiosum (whitespotted bambooshark), 82 nucleotides long. The record is from the annotation of a RefSeq genome assembly. NCBI's taxonomy places the organism in Eukaryota, Metazoa, Chordata, Chondrichthyes, Orectolobiformes, Hemiscylliidae.
GCUGUGAUGGCCGAGAGGUUAAGGCGUUGGGUUUGAAAUCCAACUGGGGUCCCCUGCGUAGGUUCGAAUCCUAUUCCCAGCG